GCCGGAAUGAUGGAAUUGGCAGACGUGCCGGACUCAAAAUCCGGUCCUGGCGACAGGGUGCGGGUUCGACCCCCGCUUCCGGCACCA
Molecule: transfer RNA, 87 nt
Filed under: Clostridiales bacterium
Lineage: Bacteria; Bacillati; Bacillota; Clostridia; Eubacteriales
Also listed under: 3 other names
Description: tRNA-Leu
Rfam family: tRNA
About the family: Transfer RNA (tRNA) molecules are approximately 80 nucleotides in length.
Source: RNAcentral